AUACGGAGGAUCCGAGCGUUAUCCGGAUUUAUUGGGUUUAAAGGGUGCGCAGGCGGCCAUUUAAGUCAGCGGUUAAAUCGUGGGGCUCAACCCCAUUCUGCCGUUGAUACUGGGUGGCUUGAUUGCGGUCGAGGUUGGCGGAAUUCGUUGUGUAGCGGUGAAAUGCAUAGAUAUGACGAAGAACACCGAUUGCGUAGGCAGCUGACCAGACCGCAAAUGACGCUCAUGCACUAAAGUGCGGGGAUCGAACAGGAUUAGAUACCCUGGUAGUCCGCACAGUAAACGAUGAAUACUUGUUUUCGGCGAUAUAAUGUCGGAGGCAAAGCGAAAGCGAUAAGUAUUCCACCUGGGGAGUACGCCGGCAACGGUGAAACUCAAAUGAAUUGACGGGG
This 392-nucleotide ribosomal RNA is filed under the name uncultured bacterium. RNAcentral's name for it is "partial 16S ribosomal RNA". It matches the Rfam family "Bacterial small subunit ribosomal RNA", at positions 523 to 918 of the family's 1533-position model. The record is from RNAcentral.